UGAGGAAUAUUGCGCAAUGGGGGCAACCCUGACGCAGCAACGCCACGUGAGUGAGGAAGGUUUUCGGAUUGUAAAGCUCUGUCGAGCGGAAAGAAAUGCAUGAUGGCUAAUAUCCAUCAUGCUUGACGGUACCGCUAAAGGAAGCACCGGCUAACUCCGUGCCAGCAGCCGCGGUAAUACGGGGGGUGCAAGCGUUGUUCGGAAUUAUUGGGCGUAAAGAGCGUGUAGGCGGCUUGACAAGUCAGAUGUGAAAUCCCUGGGCUUAACCUAGGAAGUGCAUUUGAAACUGUCAGGCUUGAGUAAGGGAGAGGAAAGUGGAAUUCCUGGUGUAGAGGUGAAAUGCGUAGAUAUCAGGAGGAACACCGGUGGCGAAGGCGACUUUCUGGCCCUAUACUGACGCUGAGACGCGAAAGCGUGGGUAGCAAACA
Molecule: ribosomal RNA, 428 nt
Filed under: uncultured prokaryote
Description: bacterial SSU rRNA
Rfam family: Bacterial small subunit ribosomal RNA
Source: RNAcentral